AGAUUAAGUUAUUAAGGGCGCACGGUGGAUGCCUUGGCACUAGAAGCCGACGAAGGACGUUACUAACGACGAUAUGCUUUGGGUAGCUGUAAGUAAGCGUUGAUCCAGAGAUUUCCGAAUGGGGGAACCCAGCACGAGUUAUGUCGUGUUAUCGACAAGUGAAUUCAUAGCUUGUCAGAAGGCAGACCCGGAGAACUGAAACAUCUUAGUACCCGGAGGAAGAGAAAGAAAAAUCGAUUCCCUGAGUAGCGGCGAGCGAAACGGGAAGAGCCCAAACCAAUAAGCUUGCUUAUUGGGGUUGUAGGACACUCUAUACGGAGUUACAAAGGAAUAUAUUAGACGAAUCAUCUGGAAAGUUGAAUCAAAGAAGGUAAUAAUCCUGUAGUUGAAAAUAUAUUCUCUCUUGAGUGGAUCCUGAGUACGACGGAGCACGUGAAAUUCCGUCGGAAUCUGGGAGGACCAUCUCCUAAGGCUAAAUACUCUCUAGUGACCGAUAGUGAACCAGUACCGUGAGGGAAAGGUGAAAAGUACCCCGGAAGGGGAGUGAAAGAGAACUUGAAACCGUGUGCUUACAAGUAGUCAGAGCCCGUUAAUGGGUGAUGGCGUGCCUUUUGUAGAAUGAACCGGCGAGUUACGAUCUGAUGCAAGGUUAAGCAGGAAAUGUGGAGCCGUAGCGAAAGCGAGUCUGAAUAGGGCGUUGAGUAUUUGGUCGUAGACCCGAAACCAGGUGAUCUACCCAUGGUCAGGUUGAAGUUCAGGUAACACUGAAUGGAGGACCGAACCGACUUACGUUGAAAAGUGAGCGGAUGAACUGUGGGUAGCGGAGAAAUUCCAAUCGAACUUGGAGAUAGCUGGUUCUCUCCGAAAUAGCUUUAGGGCUAGCCUCAAGUGAUGAUUAUUGGAGGUAGAGCACUGUUUGGACGAGGGGCCCCUCUCGGGUUACCGAAUUCAGACAAACUCCGAAUGCCAAUUAAUUUAACUUGGGAGUCAGAACAUGGGUGAUAAGGUCCGUGUUCGAAAGGGAAACAGCCCAGACCACCAGCUAAGGUCCCAAAAUAUAUGUUAAGUGGAAAAGGAUGUGGCGUUGCCCAGACAACUAGGAUGUUGGCUUAGAAGCAGCCAUCAUUUAAAGAGUGCGUAAUAGCUCACUAGUCGAGUGACACUGCGCCGAAAAUGUACCGGGGCUAAACAUAUUACCGAAGCUGUGGAUUGUCCGUAGGACAAUGGUAGGAGAGCGUUCUAAGGGCGUUGAAGCAUGAUCGCAAGGACAUGUGGAGCGCUUAGAAGUGAGAAUGCCGGUGUGAGUAGCGAAAGACGGGUGAGAAUCCCGUCCACCGAUUGACUAAGGUUUCCAGAGGAAGGCUCGUCCGCUCUGGGUUAGUCGGGUCCUAAGCUGAGGCCGACAGGCGUAGGCGAUGGAUAACAGGUUGAUAUUCCUGUACCACCUAGCAUCGUUUUAAUCGAUGGGGG
Molecule: ribosomal RNA, 1470 nt
Filed under: Staphylococcus sp. HMSC078B01
Lineage: Bacteria; Bacillati; Bacillota; Bacilli; Caryophanales; Staphylococcaceae
Description: bacterial LSU rRNA
Rfam family: Bacterial large subunit ribosomal RNA
Source: RNAcentral